ACGGCUCAGUAACACGUGGAUAACCUGCCCUUAGGACCGGCAUAACCCUGGGAAACUGGGGAUAAUUCCGGAUAACCCAUGAAUGCUGGAAUGCUUCGUGGGUAAAAUGGUUUCGACCGCCAAAGGAUGGAUCUGCGGCCUAUCAGGUAGUAGUGGGUGUAGUGUACCUACUAGCCUACGACGGGUACGGGUUGUGAGAGCAAGAGCCCGGAGAUGGAUUCUGAGACAUGAAUCCAGGCCCUACGGGGCGCAGCAGGCGCGAAGACUUUACAAUGCGGGAAACCGCGAUAAGGGGACACUGAGUGCCAGCAUCUUAUGUUGGCUGUCCGCAUGUUUAAAAAGCAUGUGUUAGCAAGGGCUGGGCAAGACCGGUGCCAGCCGCCGCGGUAACACCGGCAGCCCGAGUGGUGAUCACUAUUAUUGGGUCUAAAGGGUCCGUAGCCGGUUUGAUCAGUCUUUUGGGAAAUCUGACAGCUUAACUGUUAGGCUUCCAAAGGAUACUGUCAGACUUGGGACCGGGAGAGGUAAGAGGUACUACAGGGGUAGGAGUGAAAUCUUGUAAUCCCUGUGGGACCACCAGUGGCGAAGGCGUCUUACCAGAACGGGUCCGACGGUGAGGGACGAAAGCUGGGGGCACGAACCGGAUUAGAUACCCCGGUAGUCCCAGCCGUAAACGAUGCUCGCUAGGUGUCAGGAAUGGUGCGACCGUUUCUGGUGCCGUAGGGAAGCCGUGAAGCGAGCCACCUGGGAAGUACGGCCGCAAGGCUGAAACUUAAAGGAAUUGGCGGGGGAGCAC
Molecule: ribosomal RNA, 796 nt
Filed under: uncultured archaeon
Lineage: Archaea
Description: bacterial SSU rRNA
Rfam family: Archaeal small subunit ribosomal RNA
Source: RNAcentral